Long non-coding RNA from Rosa rugosa (rugosa rose), 2289 nucleotides. RefSeq lists it as uncharacterized. The transcript has 2 exons. NCBI's taxonomy places the organism in Eukaryota, Viridiplantae, Streptophyta, Magnoliopsida, Rosales, Rosaceae. The record is from RefSeq and is a predicted model, not a curated record.
CCUCUAAAAAUCACCUCGGCCUAGAUAGCCGAGAGACCAAGGAACAAAUGUCCUUCUCGAUGAAUAGAUUGUGGAGCGUGCCAGCACACGGCCAGAAGGCCAAGUGUGCAAUUGUAGUUGUUGUAGAUGUAGUUCUGACUUAUCAAGCAAUUGUUGGCCGAGGAAGGAACUGAUUCUCGGCCGAUAGUUCGUUGCCUUUGGAUCAAGGACUUGAUGGCUGAAGGUCGGGUGAAUUGGGUGUGGUUGUGAGAGUAUGAGUGAAUACGAAUUGUCUGGUCACAGGGCUUAAGUUAAUUGGAUUCAAGUAAUAACAAGUAACAGUAAAAGUGAACUCGUAACGAAUGAAAUCUUCAAGAUUGAUAGCUACUAUGCGACUACGAACAGUAAAUAACAUGAUCAAACAAGUAAAGCAUAAAGACAAUAAGGAGCAAAUCAAAUAUAAUAACAACGAAACUAAAAUCUGGAAUGACUGAAAAUUAUUAACUAUUGUUUGAAAGAAAACAAAGAGAACAAUUCAAAAUCGAUACUAGGCUACAAGGAAAUUAAAGCAACUGAAAUUGUAACUAGCAGAGCAAACAAACUAAGGAAACAGACGGAAAUUCUACCUAAGCAAAAGGUAAGACGAAAACAAGAAAAGCUUGAUGGCUUGAGUUUCUGGAGUUGUGUGUGUGUAAUGUCUUCUGUCGAUGCUUCUGUACAUACCAUCUAUAUUACAUACCGCCAAGCAUAAUCAACGACCUCAUAGGUGGGCCCCACGACAUGGCUAGCCCCGCCUAUGGCAUGCAUCCGGUAGGCCGACACCCAAGCUACGUUGUCAUGGUGGAGGUCGGUCGGUACCUCGUAGGGAGGCCACCUUCCCAUGCUCUCCAAGAGGCUUCAAGAGAAGCAAUAUAUGUAUUAUAGUCCCACAUCGAGGAUAUGUAAAUAGAGUGGGACUUCCCUUAGCUAUAAAGGGAAGUCCUCCCAUUCUUAGAAGGGAUGGAUCCAUGAUCCCCACACUUGUAUCACUACAAAGGUCACUUGACCUUACUCAUAGUAAAAUAUCUAAAUGGACGUAGCCUUGCCCCAAGUGCAAGGUGAACCACUAUACAUCCGGUGUCAUCUCUCUCUCUCUCCCCAUCAUGCUUCUUAGUUACCGUAUUCUUCAGUAGAAACAUUGGCGCUAGAAGGAGGGUCCCUAAGUUUGGGUAACGAGCCUCCGACCUUGAGCAAGAGUCAUGGAUGGGUACCACGAGUCAUGUACGGGUACCAAAGGUCAUCGGGUACAUGGGUACAUGCCGGACACCCCUCUCAUGGGUCUUAUGAGCUCUUGGAGGUGGACAGGUCAGAAGCUUCAGUACCUAGAACUCUCAGCCAACUCUCAAGGUCCCGAUCAUCGAGCAUCACUUCUCUCAGCAAGGUACUUGAGAUGCUUCAGGCAAUCGACAUCUCACCGGUACCCUGCUCUCACCGGUUCCCGCUGUCCUCUCACCGGUACCCCCCUGCCAUCACCGGUUCCCGCUGUCCUCUCACCGGUACCCCGCUGCCAUCACCGGUUCCCGCUGUCCUCUCACCGGUACCCCUGCUCUCACCGGUACCCCGCUGCCAUCACCGGUUCCUGCUGCCAUCACCGAUACCAGUAGACCACCGUGUCAAAUAUCAUCCGUACCAGCUAUCCAACCCGGAGAUAGGUACCUGCAUCCUCUGGUCUCCUUCACUCCGGGAACCAAAAAAAAAAAAAAAGGUGGAGAAGAGAAUUUAGUUCGGAGUUUCUUUCUCCUUGGUCUACAAACUCGACAGUAGCUCCAUGUACCAAUGGCUAGUCCCGGUCGCUGGCAGUCCGAGUCCACUUCUCAUCUCUGCCCUCCUCGCCUCCCGACUAGAUACCGGCAGCACCUGCACUUCCUAAUAGCAGCUUCGCUCCCCAUGCCAGCACUUCACCUCACGUGCCAAUCAAUCUGCCUCCGGCACCCGGAACAUCCCUCCCGGCAUCAAUUCUGCCACUCGGCAUCGGUACUUUGCGAGAACUUCAGCGUGGUGGUUUCAUCGGUACUUUGCUUAAUGCAUACUCAGCGGUAUCUCAAAAAAAAAAAAAAAAAACUCUGGGCACCGGGGGACUUAUUUGGACACCCAAUCCGUCCGGGACUGGUUUGGAACACCUUCAUUGGCCAUCACAACUUCAUCUGCAGGGCUCUUGCUUUCACCAGUACCCCUGCCAUCACCGGUACCUGCUGGCCUCCUUCACCCACUACUCUCCGGAAAUCAGACACGUCCGGGGUUUCAAAAAAAAAAAAAAAAAAAAAAAAAAUU